This 276-nucleotide long non-coding RNA is filed under the name Mytilus galloprovincialis (Mediterranean mussel). Lineage: Eukaryota; Metazoa; Mollusca; Bivalvia; Mytilida; Mytilidae. The record is from RNAcentral.
UGUUGAAGUUAAUGUUUGACAUGUUGACGACAGACGCGCGGACAACAGUAUUCCAUAUUUACGUCCCGUAAACGAGCGUAUAAAAAUAUACUGAGUAGUAAACACAUUCUAGAUACAUAAUUUUAAGAACAUGUUCAUAGAAAAGGGAAUUCAUUACAAAGAAUUUAUACCCGUAAUAAGAAAUACUGGAUCUGUCAAUGACCCGACUUAUUUUAAUAUCUCAUUUACUGUUAUCUGUUUUUGUCCAUUUUAAUUCCUUGUUAUCUGUUAUAAGCC